AAUGAACGUUGGCGGCGUGGAUUAGGCAUGCAAGUCGAGCGAGGAAAGUUGUAGCAAUACGGCUUAUUCGAGCGGCGUAAGGGGCAGUAAUACCUGGGAACGUACCCUGAGGUCGGGGAUAGCUGCUGGAAACGGCGAGUAAUACCCGAUGAUCUCGAGAGAGCAAAGGCUUGCCGCCUUCGGAGCGGCCCAGGCGAUAUUAGCUAGUUGGUGGGGUAACGGCCUACCAAGGCGUAGAUGUCUAGCGGGUGUGAGAGCACGACCCGCGCCACUGGCACUGAGACACUGGCCAGACACCUACGGGUGGCUGCAGUCGAGAAUCUUCGGCAAUGAGCGCAAGCUUGACCGAGCGACGCCGCGUGCGGGAUGAAGGCCUUCGGGUUGUAAACCGCUUUGGUCCGAGAGAAUGGGCAACUUGAUCGAUCGGAGAAACAAGGACGGGCUAAGUUCGUGCCAGCAGCCGCGGUAAGACGAACCGUCCAAACGUUAUUCGGAAUCACUGGGCUUAAAGGGCGCGUAGGCGGCCGAGCGGGUCGUGGGUGAAAUCCCCCAGCUUAACUGGGGAACUGCCCUUGAUACCACUGCGGCUCGAGGAAGGAAGGGGCAAUUGGAACUGUCGGUGGAGCGGUGAAAUGCGUUGAUAUCGACAGGAACGCCGGUGGCGAAAGCGAAUUGCUGGUCCUUUUCUGACGCUGAGGCGCGAAAGCCAGGGGAGCAAACGGGAUUAGAUACCCCGGUAGUCCUGGCCUU
Molecule: ribosomal RNA, 750 nt
Filed under: uncultured Planctomycetota bacterium
Lineage: Bacteria; Pseudomonadati; Planctomycetota
Description: bacterial SSU rRNA
Rfam family: Bacterial small subunit ribosomal RNA
Source: RNAcentral